CCUACGGGCGGCUGCAGUGGGGAAUAUUGGACAAUGGGCGAAAGCCUGAUCCAGCCAUGCCGCGUGUGUGAAGAAGGCCUUCGGGUUGUAAAGCACUUUCAGUGGGGAAGAAAGCCUUGGGGCUAAUACCCUCGAGGAAGGACAUCACCCACAGAAGAAGCACCGGCUAACUCCGUGCCAGCAGCCGCGGUAAUACGGAGGGUGCGAGCGUUAAUCGGAAUUACUGGGCGUAAAGCGCGCGUAGGCGGUCUGAUAAGCCGGUUGUGAAAGCCCCGGGCUCAACCUGGGAACGGCAUCCGGAACUGUCAGGCUAGAGUGCAGGAGAGGAAGGUAGAAUUCCCGGUGUAGCGGUGAAAUGCGUAGAGAUCGGGAGGAAUACCAGUGGCGAAGGCGGCCUUCUGGACUGACACUGACGCUGAGGUGCGAAAGCGUGGGUAGCAAACAGGAUUACAUACCCCAGUAGUC
This 465-nucleotide ribosomal RNA is filed under the name Vreelandella stevensii. RNAcentral describes it as "partial 16S ribosomal RNA". It matches the Rfam family "Bacterial small subunit ribosomal RNA", at positions 338 to 795 of the family's 1533-position model. The record is from RNAcentral. Lineage: Bacteria; Pseudomonadati; Pseudomonadota; Gammaproteobacteria; Oceanospirillales; Halomonadaceae.